This 449-nucleotide ribosomal RNA is filed under the name uncultured bacterium. RNAcentral's name for it is "partial 16S ribosomal RNA". It matches the Rfam family "Bacterial small subunit ribosomal RNA", at positions 29 to 523 of the family's 1533-position model. The record is from RNAcentral.
AGCGAACGCUGGCGGCAGGCUUAACACAUGCAAGUCGAACGGGCACUUCGGUGCCAGUGGCAGACGGGUGAGUAACACGUGGGAACGUACCUUUUGGUUCGGAACAACUGAGGGAAACUUCAGCUAAUACCGGAUAAGCCCUUACGGGGAAAGAUUUAUCGCCGAAAGAUCGGCCCGCGUCUGAUUGGCUAUUUGGUAGGGUAAUGGCCUACCAAGGCGACGAUCAGUAGCUGGUCUGAGAGAAUGAUCAGCCACAUUGGGACUGAGACACGGCCCAACCACCUACGGGAGGAAGCAGAGGGGAAUAUUGGACAAUAGGGGCAACCCUAAUCGAGCCAUGCCGCGUGAGUGAUGAAGGCCCUAGGGUUGUAAAGCUCUUUUGUGCGGGAAGAUAACGACGGUACCGCAAGAAUAAGCCCCGGCCAACUUCGUGCCAGCCGCCGCCGUAA